This is a long non-coding RNA of Strongylocentrotus purpuratus (purple sea urchin), 984 nucleotides long. RefSeq lists it as uncharacterized. The record is from RefSeq and is a predicted model, not a curated record. The transcript is spliced from 3 exons. NCBI's taxonomy places the organism in Eukaryota, Metazoa, Echinodermata, Echinoidea, Camarodonta, Strongylocentrotidae.
GAUAGUGUAGCGCUAUAGCUACUCACAACGAGUGCGCCCGUACCGUACGAACAAUGCACAGUUAUAGCUUCCGUGCAUGCAAUGGCUGUAGAGGUCAGUGUGUGUAUUUAACGCAGUGCGUACAGAGUGUGUGUGCGUUGCGCUUAAAAUCUCAGAGACCGCAUCAUGUCUAUACAUGCGCAUCCGAAUGGGAAGUCAGUAUAAUCAUUGGCAGAGGGAAUGAGUUCGAUUUCGUCGACGGUGUGAUAUGGCAAGCCUCUGCUGGUGUAGUCUACCGUAUUUUGCAUUUAUUUAACUAGAGGAUGGUGUUGUCCGCACUCAGGCCGUCACAUGGGGUCUUGACCGUAUUGACCAGAGGUCCCUUCCUCUUGAUAACAACUACAACCCAAGCAGUGUGAUCGCCCUGAUGCUUCAAGAUGCCCCCACUGCUUCCCCGUCCGCCAUCUCAAGCGCCCUGCUCAACAAUGCUUCCACCGACAAGAUUAGUGACGUCAAGUCUCUCUCUCCAAACCUACUCCUCUACACCAACUAAUACCGCAGUCUCAGACGAACAAAACCGACACCAGGAGAGUGUUUCACAAAACUUGUCAUCAGUGACAAAUGACAGUUUUUGUUAUAAGCUACUGAAAUCCUUGCUUUGAUUGGUCAUCAGCAGAUUUGUCACUGACUUUUGUCAUUUGGUCAUUGAAAAUAGGCUUUGUGAAACACCCCCAGGCCUAUUAAACAAAAUGAUGUAUUACCCUAACGGCCCCAAGUAGGUCGCUUUGGAAUCAGUUUGGAGUCGGUUUUUUUAUCGGCAUGACUGAGGUAUAAUACCCCCAUACAGUCACACCGACAAGACCAACAUCACACGAACCAAAUUACAUAUUACCCCCUAAUAACAAAACAUAGGUUGCUUUGGAAUCGGUUUGGAAACGGUUUCGCGGUGUGACUAAAUAAGUGCACACCUUUCACUAACUGUAAUAAAUUCAAUUUUAAUGCACA